This 738-nucleotide long non-coding RNA is filed under the name Rattus norvegicus (Norway rat). RNAcentral's name for it is "long non-coding RNA NONRATT021719". Lineage: Eukaryota; Metazoa; Chordata; Mammalia; Rodentia; Muridae. The record is from RNAcentral.
CAGAUUUGUGAAGAACCAAGAUUUUCAUUUGAAAGUAAAGAAAGAAUGGGGCCUAUCAAGGCUGAGUCUGUGUGACACUAGGAAGAUAAUACUGUUAUAAGGAGAUAGGGAGGAUAGCUCAGGAGGAAGGACUGGGCAAAGUGAAGGCAGCUGAGGUGGCCGUGAGAAUGCAGGACUGUGAAAGGCAGCAAUAGAGAGAGGACAUUCUAUUCACUUUGAUAUUGUGUGAUCACGACUAGAUCACCACUUGCUAUGCAGUGCCGUGUACCAUCUCAGCCCCCGAUGAGUGUCUCUGGACAGACUGGCUGCUGGAACGGAAGCUCUAUGGGUACCAGGCCCAGCACUAUGUCUGCAUGAAGCAUGUUGAUGGCAUCUGCAGCUGGUACCGAGGACACCUACACCUCCGGAAGGAGUACGUUGACAUCGUCCAGCCCUAGAAGGGACCGGCAACCAUAUCCUUGGAAGAGUUCUGAAGACCAAGCCAGUUCUCUGUGGUACUCUGAUCACCACCACUUGCCAUGUUGCUGCCAGAUAAUGAGAAGUGACAAGUGGAUGGCCUGGCCAGUAAAUUGGAGGCUGUGGGGCAUGUGGCAGCCUGGGUCUGCUGUUCACAUCUCCAGCUCACAACCUGUCAAGGGUUGGGAAGGAAGUAUCUUAUCUGCCUUGCCCUCAGCCCCUCUCCCCUGUCUCCCAAACCUUGUUAGUCUAGCUUAUACCCAUUACUCAGUUUUUAUUCUG